Molecule: microRNA, 17 nt
Filed under: Corchorus olitorius
Lineage: Eukaryota; Viridiplantae; Streptophyta; Magnoliopsida; Malvales; Malvaceae
Description: hsa-miR-44
Source: RNAcentral
GAAGAUGGAAGUACUCU